RNAcentral lists this ribosomal RNA (237 nucleotides) under uncultured Anoxybacillus sp. Its description in RNAcentral is "partial 16S ribosomal RNA". It matches the Rfam family "Bacterial small subunit ribosomal RNA", at positions 1146 to 1382 of the family's 1533-position model. The record is from RNAcentral. Lineage: Bacteria; Bacillati; Bacillota; Bacilli; Caryophanales; Anoxybacillaceae.
UGACUGCCGGCUAAAAGUCGGAGGAAGGUGGGGAUGACGUCAAAUCAUCAUGCCCUUAUGACCUGGGCUACACACGUGCUACAAUGGGCGGUACAAAGGGUCGCGAACCCGCGAGGGGGAGCCAAUCCCAAAAAGCCGCUCUCAGUUCGGAUUGCAGGCUGCAACUCGCCUGCAUGAAGCCGGAAUCGCUAGUAAUCGCGGAUCAGCAUGCCGCGGUCGAAUACGUUCCCGGGCCUU